RNAcentral lists this long non-coding RNA (583 nucleotides) under Hordeum vulgare. RNAcentral's name for it is "long non-coding RNA (HVUL_LNC018365)". Lineage: Eukaryota; Viridiplantae; Streptophyta; Magnoliopsida; Poales; Poaceae. The record is from RNAcentral.
AGUAUAUAUACAUGCUUUAUGAGAUUGCUGAAGCAAAUUCUGAUGAUUUGUAGGGUAAUGAAGUGGGCAUGCUCAUCUCCUAAUACCCUUUGCGGCUACUCAAUGGCAUAGCACGUGGAGAACUUAGAAGAGGAGUUAGAAUAAGAUUCGUUUUAGGGGUCAUUUGAUCCUUAAGCUUUGGCUUUCACUGAACUUUCAUGUGGCCCAAUCAGAUCUCUUGCUCUCUCUCAUGCAUCAAUGCAUGCUGUGGAGCACCUAAAGAAGUGUCAAAGUUCAUAAACCAUGAACACUUUCAGUGUGAAAUUCCGUUAUUCUGAGCCUCAGCUUCUUUAUAUUGUCCUGGCGAAAAUAAAGGGUGCAAAAUCAUGGCCUGAUAGACUCUGAAGCAGACAGACGCCCCCAAACUCAGUAACUAGGGUCCAGCAGUGCUCAGGCUAGAAACUUGGGUUGCUAACUCUACUAGGCAUUGCAUUCUCGAAGCAAGCAACAAGCGACUAUUUAUUCUUCUGGACUGCCUUUCUGCAGCUAUCUUUAGCUGCCACAAUAGAAUGUUCCUGUCUUUACAGAAGGUCACUAGGGGUAA